Molecule: ribosomal RNA, 421 nt
Filed under: uncultured archaeon
Lineage: Archaea
Description: bacterial SSU rRNA
Rfam family: Archaeal small subunit ribosomal RNA
Source: RNAcentral
UCAGCCGCCGCGGUAAUACCAGCUCUCCGAGUGGUGUGGACGUUUAUUGGGCCUAAAGCAUCCGUAGCUGGCUGAACAAGUCCCCUGUUAAACCCACCGAUUUAAUUGUUGGCGUACGGGGGAUACCGCUUGGCUAGGGGACGAGAGAGCCAGACGGUAUUCCCGGGGUAGGGGUGAAAUCCUAUAAUCCCGAGAAGACACCAGUGGCGAAGGCUGUUUGCUAGAACGCGCCCGACGGUGAGGGAUGAAAGCUGGGGGAGCGAACCGGAUUAGAUACCCGGGUAGUCCCAGCUGUAAACGAUGCAGACUAGGUGUUUGGACGGCCACGUGCCGUUCUAGUGCCGCAGGGAAGCUGUUAAGUCUGCCGCCUGGGUAGUACGAUCGCAAGGUUGAAACUUAAAGGAAUUGGCGGGGGAGCACA